CCUACGGGGGGCUGCAGUGGGGAAUAUUGGACAAUGGGGGCAACCCUGAUCCAGCCAUGCCGCGUGUGUGAAGAAGGCCCUCGGGUUGUAAAGCACUUUCAGUGAGGAAGAACGCCUGGUGGUUAAUACCCAUCAGGAAAGACAUCACUCACAGAAGAAGCACCGGCUAACUCCGUGCCAGCAGCCGCGGUAAUACGGUGGGUGCGAGCGUUAAUCGGAAUUACUGGGCGUAAAGCGCGCGUAGGUGGCUUGAUAAGCCGGUUGUGAAAGCCCCGGGCUCAACCUGGGAACGGCAUCCGGAACUGUCAAGCUAGAGUGCAGGAGAGGAAGGUAGAAUUCCCGGUGUAGCGGUGAAAUGCGUAGAGAUCGGGAGGAAUACCAGUGGCGAAGGCGGCCUUCUGGACUGACACUGACACUGAGGUGCGAAAGCGUGGGUAGCAAACAGGAUUAGAUACCCCUGUAGUC
Molecule: ribosomal RNA, 465 nt
Filed under: Vreelandella stevensii
Lineage: Bacteria; Pseudomonadati; Pseudomonadota; Gammaproteobacteria; Oceanospirillales; Halomonadaceae
Description: partial 16S ribosomal RNA
Rfam family: Bacterial small subunit ribosomal RNA
Source: RNAcentral